Molecule: ribosomal RNA, 98 nt
Filed under: Hypsizygus marmoreus
Lineage: Eukaryota; Fungi; Basidiomycota; Agaricomycetes; Agaricales; Lyophyllaceae
Source: RNAcentral
ACCGCAUCCCGUCUGAUCUGCGCAGUUAACCAGAGUGCCGCCUAGUUAGUGCCACGGUGGGGGACCACGCGGGAAUCCUGGGUGCUGUGGUUUUUGCU